UACCAGCACCCCCGAGUGGUCGGGACGUUUAUUGGGCCUAAAGCAUCCGUAGCCGGUUCUACAAGUCUUCCGUUAAAUCCACCUGCUUAACAGAUGGGCUGCGGAAGAUACUAUAGAGCUAGGAGGCGGGAGAGGCAAGCGGUACUCGAUGGGUAGGGGUAAAAUCCGUUGAUCCAUUGAAGACCACCAGUGGCGAAGGCGGCUUGCCAGAACGCGCUCGACGGUGAGGGAUGAAAGCUGGGGGGAGCAAGCCGG
This 255-nucleotide ribosomal RNA is filed under the name uncultured bacterium. Its description in RNAcentral is "partial 16S ribosomal RNA". It matches the Rfam family "Archaeal small subunit ribosomal RNA", at positions 474 to 727 of the family's 1478-position model. The record is from RNAcentral.